This 214-nucleotide small nucleolar RNA is filed under the name Carlito syrichta (Philippine tarsier). Its description in RNAcentral is "Small nucleolar RNA U3 (ENSTSYG00000025865.1)". It matches the Rfam family "Small nucleolar RNA U3". From Rfam's summary of the family: Small nucleolar RNAs (snoRNAs) are involved in the processing and modification of rRNA in the nucleolus. There are two main classes of snoRNAs: the box C/D class, and the box H/ACA class. U3 snoRNA is a member of the box C/D class. The record is from Rfam by way of RNAcentral. Lineage: Eukaryota; Metazoa; Chordata; Mammalia; Primates; Tarsiidae.
AAGACUAUACUUUCAGGAAUCAUUCCUAUAGUUUCUUACUAUAGAAGUUUCUCUGAUUUUAUAGAGUACCGAACACCACAAGGAGGAGGCGCAGCAUCCUCUCCGGAGCGGGAAGCUGGCUUGUGGUGUUGCUUCACUGCAACUUCCAUUUGCCAUUGAUGAUUGUUCUUGCUUACCUUCGGGGGAGCAAGAGGGAGAGGAUGCAGUGUGAGGU